GUAAAACAACAUAUGAUAGUAUAAUGUCAAUGUAUGUAGGUUGAU
Molecule: small RNA, 45 nt
Filed under: Staphylococcus aureus
Lineage: Bacteria; Bacillati; Bacillota; Bacilli; Caryophanales; Staphylococcaceae
Description: HMPRFS0000_2546
Source: RNAcentral